Molecule: non-coding RNA, 80 nt
Organism: Ornithorhynchus anatinus (platypus)
Lineage: Eukaryota; Metazoa; Chordata; Mammalia; Monotremata; Ornithorhynchidae
Source: the annotation of a RefSeq genome assembly
GGUUCCAUAGUGUAGUGGUUAUCACAUCUGCUUUACACGCAGAAGGUCCUGGGUCCUGGGUUCGAGCCCCAGUGGAACCA